This 400-nucleotide ribosomal RNA is filed under the name phytoplankton environmental sample. RNAcentral's name for it is "partial small subunit ribosomal RNA". It matches the Rfam family "Eukaryotic small subunit ribosomal RNA", at positions 587 to 987 of the family's 1831-position model. The record is from RNAcentral.
AGCUCCAGCAGCGUAUACUAAAGUUGCUGCGUUUAAAAAGCUCGUAGUUGGAUUUCGGGCCGCCGGCGGCGGUGCGGUCACAUGUCCGUCGACUGCCGUCGGCGCCUAACCGGCGGGACGCAGCGGGUGCCCUUAGCUGGGUCGCCCGCGGCACCCGCCCAGUUUACUUUGGAAAAAUUAGAGUGUUCAAAGCAGGCGCCAGUGCCUGAAUAACGUUGCAUGGAAUAAUGGAAUAGGACCACGAAUCCUAUUUUGUUGGUUUGCGGAGUACGUGGUAAUGAUUAACAGGGACUGCCGGGGGCAUUCGUACUGCGGCGCGAGAGGUGAAAUUCUAAGACCGUCGCAAGACGAACUACUGCGAAAGCAUUUGCCAAGAAUGUUUUCAUUAAUCAAGAACGAA